ACAGAGGUGCCGAGCGUUAGGCGGAAUCACUGGGCUUAAAGCGUGUGUAGGCGGAUUUGUAAGUACCUUGUGAAAUCCCACGGCUCAACCGUGGAACUGCUUGGUAUACUGCUUAUCUUGGGCCACUUAGGGGUUACCGGAACAAACGGUGGAGCGGUGAAAUGCGUAGAUAUCGUUUGGAACGCCAAUGGUGAAAACAGGUAACUGGGAGUGUGCCGACGCUGAGACACGAAAGCCAGGGGAGCGAACGGGA
This 253-nucleotide ribosomal RNA is filed under the name uncultured prokaryote. RNAcentral's name for it is "partial 16S ribosomal RNA". It matches the Rfam family "Bacterial small subunit ribosomal RNA", at positions 525 to 777 of the family's 1533-position model. The record is from RNAcentral.